RNAcentral lists this ribosomal RNA (440 nucleotides) under uncultured bacterium. RNAcentral describes it as "partial 16S ribosomal RNA". It matches the Rfam family "Bacterial small subunit ribosomal RNA", at positions 338 to 795 of the family's 1533-position model. The record is from RNAcentral.
CCUACGGGGGGCUGCAGUGGGGGAUAUUGCACAAUGGGGGAAACCCUGAUGCAGCGACGCCGCGUGUGGGAAGACGGUCCUCUGGAUUGUAAACCACUGUCCCCAGGGACGAAGAUGACGGUACCUGGGGAGGAAGCUCCGGCUAACUACGUGCCAGCAGCCGCGGUAAUACGUAGGGAGCGAGCGUUGUCCGGAAUUACUGGGUGAAAAGGGAGCGUAGGCGGGGAUGAAAGUUGGGUGUCAAAACUACCGGCUAACCUGGGAGUCGCACUCAAAACUGCAGCUCUUGAGUGAAGUAGAGGCAGGCGGAAUGCCUAGUGUAGCGGUGAAAUGCGUAGAUAUUAGGAGGAACACCAGUGGCGAAGGCGGCCUGCUGGGCUUUUACUGACGCUGAGGCUCGAAAGUGUGGGGAGCAAACAGGAUUAGAUACCCGAGUAGUC